Molecule: transfer RNA, 81 nt
Filed under: Trachelospermum jasminoides
Lineage: Eukaryota; Viridiplantae; Streptophyta; Magnoliopsida; Gentianales; Apocynaceae
Description: tRNA-Leu
Source: RNAcentral
UAAAUUAUAAAUAAGGCUCAAAUUCAUCGGUUCAAAUCCGAUAAAGGGCUUUUUUCGGGUGUUCCAAACACUCUCUUUUUU